This is a microRNA precursor of Bison bison bison, 67 nucleotides long. NCBI's taxonomy places the organism in Eukaryota, Metazoa, Chordata, Mammalia, Artiodactyla, Bovidae. The record is from Ensembl.
UGUUGCACUGCAUGGUAUCUGCAUUCAGCAGUUUGUUCCUGCUGGCUGUUCAAAAGACAGUGCGAUA